CAAUAGCGUAUAUUAAAGUUGUUGCAGUUAAAAAGCUCGUAGUUGAAUUUCUGGUCAAUUUUAGUUUCGGCUUCGGUCGGUCUAAGGUUGGCCAUCCGUCUGCAAGCUAUUCUCGUCCUUCACUGUGUCGGUUUAGCGAGCUGACAUUUUACUUUGAAAAAUUAGAGUGUUCAAAGCAGGCCGUCUGCCUGAAUAAUGGUGCAUGGAAUAAUAGAAAAGGAUCUCGGUUCUAUUUUGUUGGUUUUCGGAACUUGAGGUAAUGAUUAAGAGGGACAGACGGGGGCAUUCGUAUUACGGUGUUAGAGGUGAAAUUCUUGGAUCGCCGUAAGACGAACUACUGCGAAAGCAUUUGCCAAGAAUGUUUUCAUUAAUCAAGAACGAAAGUCAGAGGUUCGAAGACGAUCAGAUACCAU
This 413-nucleotide ribosomal RNA is filed under the name uncultured eukaryote. RNAcentral describes it as "bacterial SSU rRNA". It matches the Rfam family "Eukaryotic small subunit ribosomal RNA", at positions 592 to 1018 of the family's 1831-position model. The record is from RNAcentral.